CCAUAGAACCAAGUGAAAGCUUCAUAGAUGCUCUAGUCUGGAUUGAUGUUUGCUUGUAUGGCUGGAGCCGUAGGAAGACCCAAUCUCCUAUUGAAAAUUCUCUUUCGCCUUUGUGUUGAUCAUAUUACUGUUUCAUCCUUGCUUGAGCUGUAGUGAGAUUAUCUUUUAGCAACUUCAGCAUUUUGUCUCUGUCCUAUAGUUCCCUGUCUACUUGUUCUACUUUAGAGGUGCCCAACACAUAUUUUGGGAUCACAAGGGGAGGUCGACCAUACAUAGCCUCAUAGGGAGUACAUUUUAUGGAUGAAUGAUAAGUUGUAUUA
RNAcentral lists this long non-coding RNA (320 nucleotides) under Musa acuminata (dwarf banana). RNAcentral's name for it is "long non-coding RNA (MACU_LNC004656)". Lineage: Eukaryota; Viridiplantae; Streptophyta; Magnoliopsida; Zingiberales; Musaceae. The record is from RNAcentral.